This 600-nucleotide ribosomal RNA is filed under the name uncultured bacterium. Its description in RNAcentral is "bacterial SSU rRNA". It matches the Rfam family "Bacterial small subunit ribosomal RNA", at positions 90 to 680 of the family's 1533-position model. The record is from RNAcentral.
UGAGAGCGGCGUACGGAUGCGGAACACGUGUGCACUGCCUUUAUCUGGGGGAUAGCCUUUCGAAAGGAAGAUUAAUACCCCAUAAUAUGUUGAAUGGCAUCAUUCGACAUUGAAAACUCCGGUGGAUAGAGAUGGGCACGCGCAAGGUUAGAUAGCUGGUGAGGUAACGGCUCACCAAGUCUACGAUCUUUAGGGGGCCUGAGAGGGUGAUCCCCCACACUGGUACUAAGACACGGGCCCGACUCCUACGGGAGGCAGCAGUAAGGAAUAUUGGUCAAUGGACGAAAGUCUGAACCAGCCAUGCCGCGUGGAGGAUGAAGGCCCUCUGGGUUGUAAACUUCUUUUAUUUGGGACGAAAAAAGGGAAUUCUUUCUCGUCUGACGGUACCAGAUGAAUAAGCACCGGCUAACUCCGUGCCAGCAGCCGCGGUAAUACGGAGGGUGCAAGCGUUAUCCGGAUUCACUGGGUUUAAAGGGUGCGUAAGCGGGCAGGUAAGUCAGUGGGUGGAAAUCCCCGGAGCUUAAACUCGGGGAACUGCAUUUGGAUACUAAUCUGUCUUGAAUAUUGUGGAGGGUGAGCGGAAAUAUGUUCCUUGUACGG